ACGACCAAGGUUAACUACCUUGUUACUACUUUUCUUAAUUAAAACUUAUUUUGAUCACGAAACGACAGUGAUCAAAUUGGCGCCGUUGCCGGGGAUCUCUGAUUAGGAUUAGUAAAAUUUAGAACUAACUAACAUUACUAACACUUUUUGUUUUGUGAGUUUUUGUUGUGUUUCAGGUUCUAACGUUCAAUUUUGCAGCGAAGCUGAAAAAUAAUUAAUUUUCGGUUGAUAUCUCAGAUUGAUCCGAAAUUUGGUCCAUAAAUCCGAAAUAAAUCAAGGAACAAAACUUUCGUAUCUUUGAUACGAAAAUUGAGGCUGAAAUUGCGAAAUUCCUUCGUUUAGACCACUUAUUAUUUUUUUUGAAUUUUCCAUACAUUUAAAAAAAUCCCAAAAAAUUAUAUUUAGAUUUGUUUGAUUUUUAGAGAUUUU
Molecule: long non-coding RNA, 429 nt
Filed under: Trifolium pratense (red clover)
Lineage: Eukaryota; Viridiplantae; Streptophyta; Magnoliopsida; Fabales; Fabaceae
Description: long non-coding RNA (TPRA_LNC005441)
Source: RNAcentral